CCCUUAGAUGUUCUGGGCCGCACGCGCGCUACACUGACUGCUCCAACAAGUUACCUGGGCUGACAAGCAUCCGGGAAAUCUUGCAAAGGCAGUCGUGAUGGGGAUAGAUUCUUGUAAUUUUUGAUCUUCAACGAGGAAUUCCUAGUAAACGCAAGUCAUCAGCUUGCAUUGAUUACGUCCCUGCCCUUUGUACACACCGCCCGUCGCAUCUACCGAUUGAAUGGAGAGGCAAAAUCUUCGGACCGUGACGCUUGGGAGUCAAAUCUCGGGCUGUCGUGGGAAGUGGAUUAAACCUUUCUAUUUAGAGGAAGGUACAGUCGUAACA
RNAcentral lists this ribosomal RNA (325 nucleotides) under uncultured eukaryote. RNAcentral describes it as "partial 18S ribosomal RNA". It matches the Rfam family "Eukaryotic small subunit ribosomal RNA", at positions 1470 to 1796 of the family's 1831-position model. The record is from RNAcentral.